This 477-nucleotide ribosomal RNA is filed under the name uncultured bacterium. Its description in RNAcentral is "SSU rRNA". It matches the Rfam family "Bacterial small subunit ribosomal RNA", at positions 26 to 521 of the family's 1533-position model. The record is from RNAcentral.
AGGAUUAACGCUGGCGGCGUGCAUGAAACAUGCAAGUCGAGCGCGGCGCGUGGCUUCGGUCACGCGUCUAGCGGCGCACGGGUGAGUAACACGUGAGCAACCUACCUUCGAGUUCGGGAUAGCCCUGGGAAACCAGGAUUAAUACCGGAUGUGGUCACAACGGGACAUCCCGAUGUGAAAAAAGGCGCAAGCCGCUCGAUGACGGGCUCGCGGCCUAUUAGCUUGUUGGUGGGGUAACGGCCUACCAAGGCGACGAUGGGUAGCUGGUCUGAGAGGACGAUCAGCCACACUGGGACUGAGACACGGCCCAGACUCCUACGGGAGGCAGCAGUUAGGAAUUUUCCGCAAUGGGCGAAAGCCUGACGGAGCAACGCCGCGUGUGUGAUGAAGGCCUUCGGGUUGUAAGCACUGUCGGAGGGAGAAUGAAUGACGGUACCCUCCAAGAAGCCCGGCUAACUACGUGCCAGCAGCCGCGGU